RNAcentral lists this ribosomal RNA (437 nucleotides) under uncultured bacterium. RNAcentral describes it as "partial 16S ribosomal RNA". It matches the Rfam family "Bacterial small subunit ribosomal RNA", at positions 29 to 507 of the family's 1533-position model. The record is from RNAcentral.
AGCGAACGCUGGCGGCAGGCUUAACACAUGCAAGUCGAGCGGGCAUCCUUGUGGUGUCAGCGGCAGACGGGUGAGUAACGCGUGGGAACGUGCCCUUCGGUUCGGAAUAACUCAGGGAAACUUUAGCUAAUACCGGAUACGUGCGAGAGCAGAAAGGUUUAUCUGCCGAAGGAUCGGCCCGCGUCUGAUUGGCUAGGUGGUGAGGUUACGGCUCACCAAGGCGACGAUCAGUAGCUGGUCUGAGAGGAUGAUCAGCCACACUGGGACUGAGACACGGCCCAGACUCCUACGGGAGGCAGCAGUGGGGAAUAUUGGACAAUGGGGGCAACCCUGAUCCAGCCAUGCCGCGUGAGUGAUGACGGCCUUAGGGUUGUAAAGCUCUUUUCUCCGGGACGAUAAUGACGGUACCGGAGGAAUAAGCCCCGGCUAACUUCGUG